AGGAUUAACGCUGGCGGCGUGCCUGACACAUGCAAGUCGAACGAGGUCGCAAGACCGAGUGGCGGACGGGUGAGUAACACGUGACCAACCUACCCCGAAGAUCGGGAUAACGGCGGGAAACUGCCGCUAAUACCGAAUGCCCCCACGAGCCCGCAUGGGUUUGUGAGGAAAGGAUUCUGCUUCGGGAGGGGCUCGCGGCCUAUCAGCUUGUUGGUGGGUAACGGCCUACCAAGGCGACGACGGGUAGCUGGUCUGAGAGGAUGAUCAGCCACACUGGGACUGAGACACGGCCCAGACUCCUACGGGAGGCAGC
RNAcentral lists this ribosomal RNA (313 nucleotides) under uncultured prokaryote. RNAcentral's name for it is "bacterial SSU rRNA". It matches the Rfam family "Bacterial small subunit ribosomal RNA", at positions 26 to 352 of the family's 1533-position model. The record is from RNAcentral.